This is a long non-coding RNA of Cyprinus carpio carpio, 739 nucleotides long. Lineage: Eukaryota; Metazoa; Chordata; Actinopteri; Cypriniformes; Cyprinidae. The record is from Ensembl.
CUUCUGACUGGAGGAGGCACGCACUCGGAGCGGGGAGUGUUUUAUGUGACUGCUGCCACUCAUGGACACGUUUGUGAGAGGAAAAUUGUCUGAAUGGCAGCUUGAAAAUCUUAUAGACACCUUUAAAGCUGCUAAAGAGGAGACAGCUUUGAAGGUCCUGCCAACUCUGCUUCCCCCAUCCAUCUAUAGGAGAGGAGGAAAGGUCUUCAGACCCACCACAGAGGAGGCCCAGAAGUCAUUUAUUGACAUGCAGCCUGUUGGGACCAACAUGGUUGAAUAUUUAAACCAUGAGAUGACUGGAGCAUUGCUGCACAUUCUAUGCCUCAGUGAUGAGACAAGGGGGACAUCACAGACCUUUGCCAUUAUUCCAGGCCACGCCAUUGAGACUGUGUCUUUGUUGGAGGCGGUUGAUCUUUGCUUUAAAGCUUUUUUUGUUUUUGAUGUUCAGUACACCAAGCAGUGUCUCCCCACCUGGGAGUUUCUCCAGCAUGCUGUAUAUCAAAUUGAAGGAAAAGAGUCCUCCUCUGUAAAGUUUUUGAGGACAACAGUGGUUUCAGGCCCACAUGAUAUGUAGAUGAUUUUAAAAUGUAUUUUGUUGCUGUUCUUAAAUCAACACAUCUUAAUAAAUUAAAUUGUAAUCGUAUGAGAGUUCAAAUUAGUUGUUUAAUGACUUUUAAAGCCUGAAUAUUUGGACAGAUUUACAUUUGUUAUAAAGUCUGUGGGGAAGGGUGAAUGUCAG